CCCUCCUCCAAGGAAGGCAUCAAUCUGAAUAGGACCUAAGGUAGUUCCAGGAACAGCAGAUUGUAUUGGUUUAUAUUUUCUAGCAGCUGCAGCAGCUGGAUCCCAUUGUGCCAUCAUUUUCAGUAAAGCAUUGAUGAAUGCAGAUUUCCCAACAUUAACUGAACCCUGUAGAAAUGAAGAAAUUAAAUAUCAACAAAUGCCGACUCACAUGUUAUGGAUUUAAAAAUUGCGAAACCAAAGCAUGAACAACAACUUAUAAAUCCAAGUAAUUAGUCAUGAAGGAUUCACCAGGGGGGGAAACACAUUCAGCCUAUUAUUCUGAAUUUUGCUCACUUGUACAGAAGUAAGUUGGCAGGGACAGGUGACACAAAAAGCAUUCCUUCAGAUCUCAAAAAGAUGUAAAAGCUCUUGUUCUGCACUAAUAUCAAGCCACCCAAUAGAUUUCAACCAAAAGUAAAGUCAAAAGGGAGAUACCUUUCUUUUUACAAGUUGGAACUUCUAAAUCGAUCUUUAGAGGUGAGAAAUUUGGCCAAUCAGGCAAAUGGGGAGAAUGUCACAAACAAAUGCAUCAAUUGCUUGGUAUAAACCAAAGAUGUGUAGAGAAAAUGGAUAGCUCUUUAUGCGCUUUUCUCUCCUGUAUGACUCAGUGUAUAGGAAAAAUACUAGCAAAUGUCUCCCAAAACUUAGGAGCAUGAUGAGACUUCUAUGAACUACACAACAGACCAAAAAUGAUGGUAGUCAAUGUUUUUGAGAAUUUGAGCUUAAUCAUGAGGUAGAAAAGAAAAGACUACAACAACAGCUUUUAACAUGAAAGAAAAGAAGGGCUAAUGUUACAUAUGAGUAAAGCAUAAGUAAUUUCAGUGGGGCUUUGCUUCCUAGACUCCGUUUCAUUCUAUAUUCAGUUAAACACAAGAAAGAAAAGAAGGGUGAAUGUUACAUAUGAUUAAAGCAUAAGUAAUAUCAGUAAGGCGUUAGUUUGAGAUCCUUCUAAGUUAUUGAAGCAUUUAAUUCAUCCCAGUUAGAGGAACGUAAAAUAAUAAAUCAAUGCCAUGAUAACUCACUAAAAACCAUCACUUUUUUAUUCCUACUUUGACAAAUCAAUGUAAAGCUUCCAGUUAAGAGAGUUACCAACCAGAAUGUAAACGUCCCGGCCCUGCACCAAAAGUAUAAAUACUAAGAGCUUCAGUUGACAAAGAUGCAAUAACUAUCAAUAUAAAUACCCAGAACUUAAGUUGAUGAAAAAUCUAACGAAAUCAUAUCACAACAUCUAAGUUUAAUUAUAUAUUAAGUUCAUACUGACAACAAAAUAAGAGCUAUAAAGAGACAAAAAAGAACUGCAAUACUAUCACAACAACUACAAAAAUACAGUUGAUAGAUAGAAAGACAAAUCCACUAGUUGCAUACAACAAAAGAACACAUUAUCUUUCUGGCAUUAAAAUUAGAUGUCAACCUUCCUUCUUCUUUCCCCUUCUUUCUUUUAGUUAAAUAUUCACAUGUACAUAUGAACAAGAUAUGAAUUUCUUUUUCCUAUUUUAUGUAUAGAAAAGAAUACUAAAGGGACCAAAAGGAAUGGAACACAAUAACAAAAAGGAAAUUAUGUGCAUAGAAGGAAUCAACGAAAGUUAUAACAUAAAAAAGCCCACAAAAACAGUUCACAAAAAUUUUUGUAUUCUUUAAUAUGUUAGUGGAGAAAAACACCUUUUUCUCCUUUUGAAUUUCUGAGACAACUCCAGUAAUUCCAACUAAUGACUUUGAGCUUGUAAGAUGAACACUCAGCACAUUAAGCUUCUUCUUAGUAGUGGCCUCUACAACCCAAUCACCAACACAAUUAAGAUCAGUCUCUUUAGGAAGGAGAUCAACCUUGGUCACAACUAAUAUUAUAGGGUUUGCACCAGCAAGAUCACGCACACGAGCCAAAAAGCUGCCAUUGAAGUCCACAAUAUCAACUAAUUUAACAAUUAAAACUCUCUCAUGACGCAAGUGAGACAGCUUUUCCCGAAGCCCUUCGGCUGAAACAAACUGCUUCCCACCAGGAUACCCUCCAUUCCCACCAACAGCCGUUAUCAUAUGACCAUGAGAUAAAAGCCUGCACCUCCCACAAAGAAGAGUUCUAAGCUGGUGGUGUCUCUUCUUCAAUUCAUACGUAUCCGGGUCCACGUAACCCGGAGCUUCCUGAUCCGAAGUCUGCAACGGAGCUCCGCACCCAUAACAACAAACCACCGCCGAGUUCACCUUCAAAGCCUUCUGUUUCUCUCUCCUCCUUUUCUUCUUAGCCGCUUUCAUAACCAGUUUAGCAGCUUCAAAUGCUUUUUGGCGCUCAAGAAACUGCUCGCCUGGGGUCGGAGCAGCUGCCCCUGCACCAUCGGCUUCCGGCAUGGAAACUGAUAAUUGGGUCUCCGAGAGCGGCGUUUUUUGUGAUUGUGUGGAUUUACAGAAGAUACGAGUGGGUCUUGUGUAAAUUUUAAGGACAUUGGGGUUAAAGUGUGUAAGCUGGUGGGGGAGACAGAUAGGAGAGAGAAGUGUGGAGAGGGUUUUGGGCGCCAUUAAUGACCGUUAAAGAUAGCUUCUUAGUUCUGAGGAGCUGGGGUUUUAGCUUUUAGAGCGUGAAUAGUG
This 2613-nucleotide unclassified non-coding RNA is filed under the name Hevea brasiliensis (rubber tree). The record is from RNAcentral. Lineage: Eukaryota; Viridiplantae; Streptophyta; Magnoliopsida; Malpighiales; Euphorbiaceae.